Molecule: long non-coding RNA, 621 nt
Organism: Pecten maximus
Lineage: Eukaryota; Metazoa; Mollusca; Bivalvia; Pectinida; Pectinidae
Exons: 2
Source: RefSeq, a predicted model, not a curated record
UUGAAAUUGAAUGCGUGCGCACAUCCUCUUAUUUCCGGCAUAAUAACACGAGGUUCACAUCAUCUCGUACGACUCGAGCUUCGUCUUGUUUUUAUAUGAUUUUGGAAAAUUUUAUCACACUGUAAUCUAAAUUACUGAGAUGAGCUUCAAUUCAUCAGGUUUAUCGCCCCCAGGUGGAGCAGGGGGCCAAAAUGCUGUGGACCCAGAAAUGCAAGCAUUUAUAGAGGCGGAGGCUGGCAAAGCAAAGAUACAACAGCAAAUCCAUAAACUGAAUAAUUUGUGUUGGGACACUUGUGUGGAUAAACCUCGGGACAAGUUGGACAGUCGUACUGAGUCAUGUAUGUGUAACUGUGUAGAACGUUAUGUGGAUGUAGCCAAAGUCAUUGAACAAAGGUUUCAGCAGCGAGUCCAAAAAGCAGCCAGUGGUUUUUGAUUUUCAGAAUAUAUUUUAUUUUGUCAGCUUGUUGUCUAUCCGAGAGACGAAGGGUUCUUUAAUUAUGGAAGUCAUCAAUGAGAACCCAAAACAAGAUUCACUACAUACUUAUAUAUGUUUACUGUGUUAAAUUAUGAGUUGUUUGAUGUAACAUAACUUCGAUAAAAAAAAUCAUGUUUCAAGUUAUG